GAUGAAGAACGGAGCGAAAUGCGAUAAGUAGUGUGAAUUGCAGAAUUCAGUGAAUCAUCGAAUCUUUGAACGCACAUUGCGCCCCAUGGUAUUCCGUGGGGCAUGCCUGUUCGAGCGUCAUUUACCCCCUCAAGCUCCGCUUGGUGUUGGGCGUCUGUCCCGCUUCGCGCGCGGACUCGCCCCAAAGGUAUUGGCAGCGGUCGUGCCAGCUUCUCGCGCAGCACAUUGCGCUUCUCGAGGCACCGGUGGGCCCGCGUCCAUCAAGCUCACCCCCCCAGUUUGACCUCGGAUCAGGUAGGGAUACCCGCUGAACUUAAGCAUAUCAAUAAGCGGAGGA
RNAcentral lists this unclassified non-coding RNA (337 nucleotides) under soil metagenome. Its description in RNAcentral is "partial contains 5.8S ribosomal RNA, internal transcribed spacer 2, and large subunit ribosomal RNA". The stretch from base 1 to 120 matches the Rfam family "5.8S ribosomal RNA", at positions 35 to 154 of the family's 154-position model. The record is from RNAcentral.